UCUGAUUCAUUCAGCAGAUAUUUAUGGAGCACCUUGAUAAGCCAGACUCUGCCUCAGCUAUGGCAUCAGUGAUAAACAAAGCCAAUAAAUUCCCUAUCUUCAAAGCACCGACAUUGUAAUCAGCAAAACAAAUGAAGCCCAGAAGCAAUGGAGUCAACAGAUCAUGAAUUGAAACCUCUGAAACAUGUAUUCAGAAUGGAGGCAUUCAUGGCGGACAUUGCAGUAAAUUGCUGAUAUUCUACCAUUGUGCCUGCUGGGUGCUUGUUGGCUGAUCAAUAUCAUGCUGAAUCCCUCCACCUUUUAUGGCUCCAAUAAAGACUAUCUAGUUAGAUGACCCAAGGCUAAGAGAUAACUAUGAGGACCUUUUAUGAAGAUCUACAAAAGGUGAUCUAAAAUC
Long non-coding RNA from Sciurus carolinensis (gray squirrel), 397 nucleotides. RefSeq lists it as uncharacterized. The record is from RefSeq and is a predicted model, not a curated record. The transcript is spliced from 3 exons. Lineage: Eukaryota; Metazoa; Chordata; Mammalia; Rodentia; Sciuridae.